GCUGGAUAGAGCAAUGGCCCUCUAAGCCAUCGGUCGGGGGUUCGAAUCCCUCCCAGGACGCUA
This 63-nucleotide transfer RNA is filed under the name Staphylococcus epidermidis FS1. RNAcentral describes it as "tRNA-Ser". It matches the Rfam family "tRNA", at positions 15 to 71 of the family's 71-position model. From Rfam's summary of the family: Transfer RNA (tRNA) molecules are approximately 80 nucleotides in length. Their secondary structure includes four short double-helical elements and three loops (D, anti-codon, and T loops). Further hydrogen bonds mediate the characteristic L-shaped molecular structure. tRNAs have two regions of fundamental functional importance: the anti-codon, which is responsible for specific mRNA codon recognition, and the 3' end, to which the tRNAs corresponding amino acid is attached (by aminoacyl-tRNA synthetases). tRNAs cope with the degeneracy of the genetic code in two manners: having more than one tRNA (with a specific anti-codon) for a particular amino acid; and 'wobble' base-pairing, i.e. permitting non-standard base-pairing at the 3rd anti-codon position. Lineage: Bacteria; Bacillati; Bacillota; Bacilli; Caryophanales; Staphylococcaceae. The record is from RNAcentral.